This 253-nucleotide ribosomal RNA is filed under the name uncultured bacterium. RNAcentral describes it as "partial 16S ribosomal RNA". It matches the Rfam family "Bacterial small subunit ribosomal RNA", at positions 524 to 776 of the family's 1533-position model. The record is from RNAcentral.
UACAGAGGUCUCAAGCGUUGUUCGGAUUCAUUGGGCGUAAAGGGUGCGUAGGUGGCGUCGUAAGUCAGGUGUGAAAUCUCGGGGCUUAACUCCGAAACUGCAUUCGAUACUGCCGUGCUUGAGGACUGGAGAGGAGACUGGAAUUUACGGUGUAGCGGUGAAAUGCGUAGAUAUCUGGAGGAACACCGGUGGCGAAGGCGGCGUCCUGGACCAACACUGACACUGAGGAGCGAAAGCCAGGGGAGCAAACGGG